This 406-nucleotide ribosomal RNA is filed under the name uncultured bacterium. Its description in RNAcentral is "partial 16S ribosomal RNA". It matches the Rfam family "Bacterial small subunit ribosomal RNA", at positions 30 to 526 of the family's 1533-position model. The record is from RNAcentral.
AUUGAACGCUGGCGGCAGGCCUAACACAUGCAAGUCGAACGAGUGGCGGACGGGUGAGUAAUGUCUGGGAAUCUAGCUUAUGGAGGGGGAUAACUACGGGAAACUGUAGCUAAUACCGCGUACCAUAGGAUGAGCCCACGUGGGAUUAGCUAGUUGGUGAGGUAAAGGCUCACCAAGCCGACGAUCCCUAGCUGGUCUGAGAGGAUGACCAGCCACACUGGGACUGAGACACGGCCCAGACGCCUACGGGAGGCAGCAGUGGGGAAUAUUGCGCAAUGGGGGCAACCCUGACGCAGCCAUGCCGCGUGAAUGAAGAAGGCCUUCGGGUUGUAAAGUACUUUCGGUAGCGAGGCGUUACCUACAGAAGAAGCACCGGCUAACUCCGUGCCAGCAGCCGCGGUAAUUC